UUCCCGUUGAUCCUGCGGGAGGUUGCUGCUAUCGGGAUUCGAUUAAGCCAUGCAAGUCUUUCCGCAAGGAAGGCAAACUGCUGAGUAACACGUCGAUAACUUACCCUAAGGUUCGGGAUACCCUCGGGAAACUGAGGAUAAGACCGGAUCGGGAAGAUGCCCUGGAACGGGCUUUUCCACAAACGCAAGGCCUUAGGAUAGGACGGCGGCGGAUUAGGUAGUUGGUGAGGUAAUGGCUCACCAAGCCAAAGAUCCGUAGGGGCCCUGAAAGGGGGAGCCCCCAGAAGGGCACUGAGAUACUGGCCCUAGCCCUACGGGGUGCAGCAGGCGCGGAACCUUUACAAUGCACGCAAGUGUGAUAAGGGAAUCCCGAGUGCUCAUGCUACGCAUGGGCUUUUGCCAUGGGCAAAUACCAUGGAGAAUAAGUGGUGGGCAAUACCUGUGCCAGCCGCCGCGGUAACCCAGGAGCCACAAGUGGCAACCGCUUUUAUUGGGCCUAAAGCGUCCGUAGCCGGCUUGGCAAAUCUUCUGUGAAAUUCUUCGGCUUAACCGGAGAGCGUGCAGGAGAAACUGCCUCGCUAGGGACUGGGAGGCGUGAGGGGUAUUUCAGGGGGAGCGGUAAAAUGUUAUAAUCCCUGAAGGACCACCUGUGGCGAAGGCGCCUCACGAGAAC
RNAcentral lists this ribosomal RNA (673 nucleotides) under Candidatus Aenigmatarchaeota archaeon. Its description in RNAcentral is "bacterial SSU rRNA". It matches the Rfam family "Archaeal small subunit ribosomal RNA", at positions 1 to 686 of the family's 1478-position model. The record is from RNAcentral. Lineage: Archaea; Nanobdellati; Candidatus Aenigmatarchaeota.